GAUUAACGCUGGCGGCGUGCCUAACACAUGCAAGUCGAGCGGCAGCGAGUUUUACACUGAAUUCUGGAAGCUUCUGGUUGAAAGAGAAGAUACUAUUCAAGAAUUUUGUGUAAAAUGUCGGCGAGCGGCGGACGGCUGAGUAACGCGUGGGAACGUACCCCAAAGUGAGGGAUAACGCAUCGAAAGGUGUGCUAAUACCGCAUAUGGUCUUCGGAUUAAAGCCUUCGGGCGCUUUGGGAACGGCCUGCGUAAGAUUAGAUAGUUGGUGGGGUAAUGGCCUACCAAGUCAACGAUCUUUAACUGGUUUGAGAGGAUGAUCAGUCAGACUGGAACUGAGACACGGUCCAGACUCCUACGGGAGGCAGCAGUGAGGAAUCUUCCACAAUGGGCGAAAGCCUGAUGGAGCAACGCCGCGUGCAGGAUGAAGGCCUUCGGGUUGUAAACUGCUUUUAUAAGUGAGGAAUAUGACAGUAACUUAUGAAUAAGGAUCGGCUAACUACGUGCCAGCAGCCGCGGUCAUACGUAGGAUCCGAGCGUUAUCCGGAGUGACUGGGCGUAAAGAGUUGCGUAGGUGGUUUAUAAGCGAAUAGUGAAAUCUGGUGGCUCAACCAUUCAGACUAUUAUUCGAACUGUUGAACUCGAGAGCAGAAGAGGUAGCUGGAAUUUCUAGUGUAGGAGUGAAAUCCGUAGAUAUUAGAAGGAACACCGAUGGCGUAGGCAGGCUACUGGGCUGUUUCUGACACUGAGGCACGAAAGCGUGGGGAGCGAACCGGAUUAGAUACCCGGGUAGUCCACGCCGUAAACGAUGGAUACUAGCUGUUUGGGGUAUCGACCCCCUGAGUAGCGAAGCUAACGCGUUAAGUAUCCCGCCUGCGGAGUACGAUCGCAAGAUUAAAACAUAAAGGAAUUGACGGGGACCCGCACAAGCGGUGGAUCAUGUUCUUUAAUUCGAUGAUAACCGAUAAACCUUACCAGGUCUUGACAUCCUUGGAAUCUUUCAGAAAUGAGAGAGUGCUUUUUAAGAGCCAAGUGACAGGUGAUGCAUGGCCGUCGUCAGCUCGUGUCGUGAGAUGUUUGGUUAAGUCCAUCAACGAGCGCAACCCUUGUCAGUAGUUGUAUUUUUCUACUGAGACUGCCCCGGUAACGGGGAGGAAGGAGGGGACGACGUCAGGUCAGUAUUUCCCUUACGUCCUGGGCUAGAAACGUGAUACAAUGGCUAGUACAAUGCGCAGCGAAGCCGCGAGGUGAAGCAAAUCGCAUCAAAGCUAGUCCCAGUUCGGAUUGUAGGCUGAAACUCGCCUGCAUGAAGUCGGAAUCGCUAGUAAUCGCAGAUCAGCGUGCUGCGGUGAAUACGUUCCCGGGUCU
Molecule: ribosomal RNA, 1365 nt
Filed under: uncultured bacterium
Lineage: Bacteria
Description: bacterial SSU rRNA
Rfam family: Bacterial small subunit ribosomal RNA
Source: RNAcentral